CACCUCGAACAUAUCUAUUAGGGAACAACUUUUAGGGAAUUUGUUUAAGAUAACUACAAUUUUGUCUCUUCAAUUUAGGUCAUAAGAAAACAAUGACCCAAUGAUUUCGUUCUAGUAGGUAGAUAUAAUAAUAAAAUAUUAAAAAAAUCUCGGAAAAUCUAAAAAUAUUAGAAAUAGAAAUUAAGAAAUAUUUUAAAGGCUAACUUUUACUUGAAGUAGAUGGAAGAUUGAUAUUUGGAUCAGACUCUUUGUCCGCACUAGAAUCUGUCAUUGAAAGAAAACGAUUUUAUGACCAAAGAGGGUGAUGGAUUUCAGAAUGGAAUAAUCGGAAUUACGAGUGGUAGGUGAAAUCAAAUCCAUAGUUUGAUAAAUUUCUGCAGUUUUUUUUUUCCCCUCCCGAUAACGGGGGUAUUUUUUCACAGAUGUAGAGUUGUCAACCUCCGGAUUAUAAGAAUACAUUGAAAUCUAAGGUAAAAUAGGAGUUUUUACCACAACAAUAAAUCCAGGACUUAAGUGAAAUAAAGAUAACUUUAAGGUUGUGACAAAACAGAAUAAACUGUUUUGUUUAUAACUAAGAAGGGGUUAUCUGCAAAUGUUUCAAUUAAUAGUUAUUUGGAUUCAAGUGAAAUUAAAAGAAUUGAAAGGUUAUUACAAAAGAAGAUCGAUAACUAAAAUAAUUAUAUAUAUGGAUCUAAUUGAAAUAACCCAGUUAAUUAAUUAGUCCUUGGUAUAUAAGAAAUAUGAUAAGAGUUGGAGGACUACUAAAUAAAUGUCACAAACUAAAGUCAAUGACUUAAUUGAUAUUACUGAUAAGUUUGUUCUAUCUUGCAGCAAUUAUUACAACUAAUAACUAAACAACAAAUCGGAUCCGGAUCAACUACAGCCCGAGACCCGAUUAAACUAGAUUAGUUAGUUAUUAGUUUAUUGUAAUAGUUAGCUAGUAAUGUGUAUAAAUAAACAAAGAUUAAUCUUUAAUAAACAUGCAAUAAUAUACAAAAGUUUAUCUAGUUUUUAAAGAUAAACAAGAUUGCAAUUUUCCCCCUCUUUUCUUUCCUCCUCCUCACGAUUCUAUCUGACCGGUAUUACAGUUUUCCCCCAAAUUCUCUGGGCGGAAAACCCUAGUCGACGAUCGCCGGCAAACUCUUCCAAAGGACUCUCCGGACUUCGGAAGACUACACAUUGACCCCGGCGCGUCUCUCCGAUCAGAAAUUAAGACGGAUGAUAUAUCAGAGUCACAUAAUAUAUCAUCGGAUAAAUUUAAGUGGAAAUGUACAAAGUAAGAUUCAAACCCUGGAUCUCAGAAACCUUAAUAGUUUCUAAGAUCAAUGAGUCAACCUUACUUUGUUUAGAUAAAUUUCUGCAGAACUACCAUGAGGAUGAGAUGAAGAAGAUGGAACUGAAAAUAAAUCCAUUUUAGCUAGAAUAGGUAAUUGACUGAAGUGCAGAAACGCUACGACCAAAAAAAAGAUAGAAUGAGUGAAAACAAAAUGAGUGAAAACGAAUAAAAAUUAAAAGAAGAAGAACAAGAAGAAAUGGAUUGAACUACAAGAAGAAAAUCCAAUACAAAAAGAAUAAAAAAGAAUUCAGGAACGACGGAAUUAAAAAAAUUUAUAAACUAAUACAAAAAUAAACAAAAAUGUAAGGAAAGGGCAAAAAUAAGAAGAGAAUAAAGAACCUAAAAAAUCAAAAAUCAACAUAGAAUACGAUAAGGAUCGAUUAUUGUAAACAUUACCGUGGAAGAACAAUGUUGAUCCUUCGCAGGAACGACAGGUAAUUGGAAGAGCCGAAUAACCAACUGAACAAACGAAAAUGGAAUAUAACAACG
Molecule: long non-coding RNA, 1825 nt
Filed under: Zostera marina
Lineage: Eukaryota; Viridiplantae; Streptophyta; Magnoliopsida; Alismatales; Zosteraceae
Description: long non-coding RNA (ZMAR_LNC000718)
Source: RNAcentral